RNAcentral lists this long non-coding RNA (6490 nucleotides) under Canis lupus familiaris (dog). RNAcentral's name for it is "lncRNA (ENSCAFG00845001069.1)". The record is from RNAcentral. Lineage: Eukaryota; Metazoa; Chordata; Mammalia; Carnivora; Canidae.
UUUUUUUUCUUUUUUUUUUUAAGAGUGGUUUUAGGUUCAUCACAAAGUUGAAAGGAAGAAAGACCAAUUUCCCAUAUAACCCCUCUAAUCACCUCCCUACACACAUGCACAUAACCUCAGCCAUUAUUAACAUUAAUGCUCUGAUGAAGAAUGUAUUUAUAUUUUCCCACCAGGAAGCUGGUUAUCUUUUAGGGUAUUUGAUCCUUUUCUUUUUUAACACUUGCAUGCUAGCAAACAUACUUAAAUGAAAAAUUUUACUUACUGCAAAAGUCUUUAGAGUUCAGACAUUUAGAAGUAGGACAAGCGCACAGAUACCUGUUCAAAUAUUGAUGUUAGAAUACCAGCAAAAUGGUAUUACUUAGAUAUUCCCUCUUUCUGGUUUCUGGAGAGAAUUCCCUUUUGUGCAAAAAGAUGUUUACAGAUACUAUAACUCUGUUAAUGUUCUCAACUUGGUAAAAAGUGACUGCUUUUACAUUCAAGCCCUUGGUCUCAGCAUCACACUUACUUUUCAAAUAUCUUCUUGAUAGUAACCCCAAGGUUGAAUAAUUCCUGUCAUUAUUGACUUGUAGGGACUCAAUAUCUUCUCUGAGUGACCUACAUGGGGUGGGGUGAGGCAGCGGGGUAGGGAUGCAUGAUUAAAGUUAGAUCAGAAAGUAGAGCUAUUGGGCGGUAAAAAACCACCUUCCCUUAUAAACAUGAACGGCAUGACAUUGAAACAAGUUGAAAUCAUAGGAUUUUGCCAAGAGCAUUCUAGAGUUUGAGAAAAAUUUCCCAAGUUAGUUUUCAAUUGCUUCUUACUGAACUCUGCUAACCAAUUCUCUGCCUUGGAAUAGCAUUCAAGAGAGCAUGAAAACCCAGCAGUGUCGAUAUUGGAAAGCCUCAAACUGUAGUGGGACCAGUUACCAGAGACUCAGAAGCAAUAGUUUACAAAAGAAAAAAGGAAUUGUCAUCAACCACUGCAAAAGAAAGAGCUAAACAGCUUAAAAGUAGAAUAUACAAGAGAAGAAAAGGAAGAAAAUAUGUGCCUGCUUGAAGAAAAAUAUACUCCCUGAUCUUGAUUGCUCAAAAUUGGGAGUUUAAGGGUUCAUUAUUUAAAUGUUAAGCCUUUCUAUGCAUUAAAAAAUACUGACAAGGUCUAAACAAAUUGUUAACAAGUAAUCAGGAGCAUUCUUUGCUAGCCUUAAAUUACCUAUGUGAACAGUGUAUAUUGAGCAUAUAAAUUAGGGGCAAAAUAUUCUAGUUAUGGCACAAUGGGUUCUUUGUCCUUUUUCCACUGAAAGAUUGAAUUAUACUAGUUCCCCAGAAAGAGGCCCCCCAAAAUUAUAUAACUGAAUAUUUGUUUCUUCCUAAAUAAUGAUGCUAUCUUAAAAACUUGAUCUAGAAGCAGAAAAAUACAUUACUUUUCUAUUGUUUUGAGUGGCACGAUUAUAUUGUGCUCUGAGUGGCCAAGCACAAGGUCUUGAAUAACUCUGCCAAUAAUUGACUUGCAACAUUGAUGACAAGUACCAUUGCCUUGUUUGUACAUCCUCAUACAUCUGAAUGAGACAGAGGCAGACGGGUAUGGUGGAAGGAGUCCUGGUCAAGGUGUCAGAGAACAUGGGACCAACCUAUAGGAUUAUAUCACCAGGCACCCAAUGCAUCCUUCUGAGCAAGUUCUGUAAUCCCUUGUGUCCUGCUGCUUCAUUUUUAGAGGGGGCAUGACAAUACCUCCCUCCCUAAACCAGAGAGAUGUGUAAGGUAGUCAUGAUAUGUGUUCACAGAAAAGUGCUCAAGAAAUAUAGGGAGUUGUUCAAAAUGUAGCUCAUAGGUAUCCUUCCCAGUAUGAAAGCUUCUGAACCUUUAUUUAUUUAUUUUUUUUUUGAAUACUACUUUGGACAUUCUGACCCUGAAUCUUGGUCUUCCUCUUCUCCAUCUUCCCUAUUGACCUCUGUGUUGAGGAUGUCAUUCCUAAUUCACCAGCGAAAACUUUCAGAUCUACUUUUGAGUAAAUCCUAAGGCUGCUCCCUUCUUAGCACAUCCAGAGCUCGCAUCGUGGUGCUGGCCUCAUCAUCUCUCACAGGAUGAACCUAACUAUUCUCCUUGCUUCCACAUGUCCUCCCCCAACAGUUUGCUCUCCCCAGAGCAGCCACAGCAGUAUUUUAAAAAUAAAAUUUGGAUCUGGUCACUUCUUGGUUCAAAACCCUCCUGAUGAGUGCUUCUCACACAGAGAAUUUCAUCAGAAGUCCUCACCCCUUCCUGCAGUGCCAGUGGGGGUGGCACACUACCAGUUUUGUGCAGUCCAAGAGCUAAGGAUGGUUUUUACAUUGUUGAAUGAUUGUCAUAUGAAUAUACUACAUAAUUCAAAUUGCAGUGUCCAUAAAGUAUUAGAACAUAGCCAUGUUUAGUCAUUUACAAACUAUCUAUGGUGCUUUCAUUCAUCCACAGAGUUUGGUUGUUCCUAGACACACAUUAUAGCCUGCAAAGCCUAAAAUGUUCACUAGCUAGCUCUUAAUAGAAAAAGUUUGCAACCUCUGCCCACAGGGUAUAAUCCUUCCUCUUUCCUACCAUUCUUCUCAUUGUUGUUCUGCUUCAAUCAUGCUGAUAGCUUAUUCUUUUAUGCUUGUUCUUGCUACAGUGCUAUUUUAUAUGCUGCUUCCUUUUGCCCUUGGAUAUUUUCCUGGAUGUUCUAUGACUUCCUCUUUCAUAUCACUCUAGAAUAUGGUACUUUUCCCAAAAAGGUCUUGACAGUCCUACAGAAAAUAGCACUGUUAUAAAAUUUAAAAUAGUACAUGCGAAUUUUUUAAGCUCUAAUCAUGGUUUGUCAGAGUUCAAACUCUGACUCUUUUAGAUAUUAAAAUCUGGAACUGUUAAAAAUCAGUGUCAAAUAUCACAUACUUGAUAUUGAAUGGCUCAGUUUAGAGGACAACCUGGGAGUGAAAAAUUAUAUGCUUCUUUUUCUUUUUUUUCAGCUCUUCCAAGAGCUUACUAUGUGACUCUGGACAAAUAAUUUAGCAUAAAGGAGCCUCAGUUUUCCUUUCAAUGAUUUAAUGAUAUUCCUUAUGAGCUACAUUAGAAAUAUGAUGGAUAAACAUAGGCAUAUAACGAUUACAUUUUUAAGAAGAACAAGAACAGCAAGAACAAUCAAAUAUCUAUUCAGCAUAUUAUGGCAUAUGCCAUCCUUACCAGGAUUUCAUUCUCUUUAGAAAAGUGACUACCUUUGCCAGAUGACUAUCUUUACUUACAUCUGCAAAGUACAUAUCUAGCAAUGGCACCUUUAUUGGCUUCCUAGGGCUGUCAUAAAAAGUACCACAAACUGGGUAGCUUAAAGCAACAGAAAUGUAUUGUCUCACAGUUUGGGAGGCUAGAAGUUCAAAAUCAAGGUAUUGGCAGGGCCAUGUUCCUCUGAAAUCUGUAAGGGAAUCCUUACUUGCCUUUCCACCUUUUGGUGGUUUUCCAGCAAUCUUCAAUGUUCUUUGGCUUGCAACUGCACAACUAUAACAUUUGCUUUCUUGUCAUAAUGUGUUCUCCCUGUGUCUCUGCCUUUACAUGGUUACCUUCUUAAGCACACCAGUCAUGCUAGAUUAGGAGCUUACCCUAUGCCUGGACGAUCUCUCAAAUUUUACCUAUUCCAUCUGCAAUGAUUCUAUUUCUACUAAGGUCAUAUAGUGAGGUACUGGGGAUGAAGACCUCAAUAUAUCUUUUUUGGGGGAGUGGGAUACAGUAUAACCCAUACAGUACCCAAAAGUGCAAUUGCAAGGAUCUUUAAUACUUAUCUUUGUGAAUACAGGAGAAGUGCUUACUCUAUGAUGGAUAUUCUUUCAUGACAUUUGCUCAUUGUCAUUGUAAACAGCAUUUUUUGAGGAGGUUGGGGGGAGAAAACCAACAUUUGGUACUGUGAUUGUCCAGGUCUUUCAGUGAUAUAUGAUAGUUACUGCUUGAGGCUCGAGUUGAAAAAGAAGAAUGACCAUCUGAUGAUUUCACUGUCAGCCUCAGAUGUGACCCUAACAUACUUAUGAUCACCCCUGGAGUCCCAGAGUCAGCUACAAUGAGACCUUUAGAUUAGAGGACUGGAGUUUUGUCAGUUUGUUCAAAACUAGAAACAUAUCUCAUGAAAUGCUGCUCUUUCACAGACUUUUUUAUAAAAUUCAAUGUUUUCAAUUCUUAGAGCAAGAGAGUUGUGAAUAUAUUAACCAUUUAAUAAGAGAUUGUAAUGACCACAGGGCAGGUUUAAAUUGACAGACAUGAAAAAGUCAAAGAGUUUCCUCAUUGGAUUAGUUUAUUUCUUACCUUUUAAACAGUUCCUGUGACAUAUCAGAUACAGAAAAUACACUAAUAUGCCUUAUAAAGGAACUUACAGUUAUGGCAGUGGAGUUAAGUGGUUGUGCCAACCCUUCCACAGAUAAUAACUAUUAAAAUUGGAUAAAAUAUUUAAAAUCCCAAUAAUUUAAAGACACUGGAUGUGUCCAAUACUGUAUAAAAGCUGGAAAGAGUGUAUUCUUGAAAAAAAAGAAAAAGAAAAACAUAGUUAUAAGGCAUAAGAAUUGGGGGUAAUUUCCAAUCCCCAUGGCUACAGCAGAGUAAAAUGGUGGUAGAAAAACAAAGCCUUGUCAAAUGUUUGCAGAAAUAAGAGUUUAGGAAUGGAAUAGACUUAGAAAUGUAAAGAUGAAGCUAUGAGAGCAAGAUAAUUGCAGAGGAAGGAAACCAAAAACCCAGAGCAUCUGGCUGACAGGUAAGCUAUGCAUGGUGAGGGAAAAUUCUAUAGGGCCCUGCAAAAAGCAGGAAGAGGUCAGAGAGGAAUCUACUCUUGAAAGAUAAAAGAUGCAUAGGGCAAGAUACAUAAUUUUGCUGCUUUUUAAGCUGAAUACAUUUUCCAGUUGCAUGAAACAUAGCAAGCAGAAGGCUGAAGCCUCAGGGAUUUGAAGUGUCAGAAGUGAGAUCCUAAGGAUAUGCCACAGAAGCUAGAUUUAGAAGGAAAUUCCUAGAAGCAAAAAAAAAAAAAUGCAAUAGAAAGGAUAGCCCCAAAAUAUGAAUAAAAUCUUGGCCCAAAUCCCUCAUUGCUGAAUUACACAGGCACAGGGAAGAAAUCCAAGAGGUUAGACUAAUAAAAGCAUUUGGAAUUCAUAAAAACAGUCCAGAGAUAUCAGUAGCUACAUGCUAAAAGAAAAGAUAAAUGUUGCAUUUCACAUUCAGGAAGAUUAACUGAAUAUCGGAAUAAAAGAGGACAACUCUCAGGACAUUAAAAAAUCCACUGUCACAACAAUGUAUUAUCUUUAAUGUCCAGUUUACAACCAAAAAUUACUAGACAUUCAAAGCUACAGAAACUUUGACCCAUAAAAAGGAACAAAGACAGUCAAUAGAAACUGACUUCCUACGGUCCCAGAUAUUGGAUUUAGCAGAUAAAAACUUUGAAGGAGUGAUUAUAAAUAUGCUCAAGUAAGUAAAGAAAGUAUGAUGCCAGUGAGAAAAAGAUAAGAAAAUAAAGAAAUAAAUCUAUAGAAAAAAAUACAACUAAAAAAUUCAAUAAACUUUAAAAAUUAACUCAUAGACCCAACAGUAUAUUGGACAUAGAAUAAAGUAUCAUUAAAUUUGGAGGCUAAUCAACACAAAUUACUCAAUUUGAAGAAUAGAGGGAAAACAAAACAAAACAAAAAGCAAACAAUUGUAGAGUCUAAGACGCUUAUGUGAGAAUAUCAGCUAGGCUAUUAUAUAUGUAGCUGGAGUUACCGAGAGAGAAAGAGAGAGACAGAUGACCUGGAAACAUUUUUCUGAAUAAAAAAAAAAUAGAAUCUUUCCAAAAUUUGAUGGAAAUCAUUAAAUUCAGAUACAAGUGACUUAAUAAACUUCAAACAGGAUUAAAAUAAAGAAAAACAUUAUUCUUAAAUAAUAUUCCUAAAUAUUCCUAAACAUUCCUGAAUACAUUGAGUUAAACUGCUUAUACCCAAAAAUAACAAAUAAAAUCUUGAACUCAGCCAGAGAAAACAUACACAUUAAUAAUAGGUGAAUAAUGCUACAAUUUCCUGACUCCCCUUGAGAAACUAUGGAGGCCAGAAGAUACUGAAAUAACACAAUAAAAUUGCUAAAAGAAAAAAGAAGCUGUAAAUAAUAAAUUCUAUGUUUAAUAAAGCUAUCCUAAAAAUAAAAAUGAAAUUAGAAUAUUUUCAGAUAAUUAAAAGUGAUAAAAUUUAUUACCAGAACUGCAUUAAAGAUAAUGUAAAGGAAAGUGUUCAGGUUAUAUAACAUAUUUCCUUUUCUUAAUUUCUUUCUUUCUUUUUAAAAAGAUUUAAAAGAUUUUAUUUUUUUAUUUAUUCGAGAAAGAGAGAGAACAAGCACAAACAAGCAAGCUCCCUGCUCAGCAGAGAGCCCGAUGCAGGGCUUGAUCCCAGGACCUGGGAUCAUGACCUGAGCCAAAGGCAGACACAUAAUUGACUGAGCUAUCCAGGAACCCCUUCUUAAUUUCUUUAAAAGAGAAAUUAUUGUUUAAAGAAAGAAAAAAACAAAAAACAAAAAAAAC